GACCCAUCCCCAGCGACGUCAACCUGCAAAGGAAAGGCCAGACCCAUCCCCAGCGACGUCAACCUGCCAAAGGAAAGGCCAGGUAGAACGUGUCAUGCAGUGGUAGAGGUUGGGUGAAAAAGGGACGUGUUUCAUUAUCACCAAGCAGGUACAAUACCCGCAAGGCUUAGGAGGUGAGGGUGAGAAAAAAAUUCGUAUAAAAGGAGAGAGAAAAAGCUACAGACAUUAGUUGGGUGAGCAUCAUCGACACGGCAACAACUGCUGUGAACUACCUGUGCCAACUGGCUUCUUCAUCGGAUUACCAGCUCGCAACAAUUGUUCGCAGUUAGGUCAACUAUAAUGUCGUGCUGCUGUCGGAUGUUGUAUCGUUGAUGGCUGGGUCGACCACUAGUGUAUCAAUGUCUUUUGGGUACGGAUACCAAACCGAAACGCCGCCGCCUUACUACACAACAGCAACAUACGCAACAACCGGUUACUGCACCACCAGGGCUCCAGAGUAUUACACCCAAACUUAUGAUGCUUCGAGCUACUACACCGAUGCCCCGAAGUAUAACUCUGCCCCGAGCUACAUCACCGAAGAGCUGGAGUACUGAACCGAGGCUCCCAAGUAAUAAACCACUAAGGCACCGGAAUCGGUAACAACUGCAGUGCCCCAUCUGUCACCAGCUGCAUUCCGCAUCGUGUAACCAAUUCGCAAUAAUGGUUAACUAUAUCGUCGUUGGGGUUGUAUCGUUGAUGGCUGGGUUGACCACUCCACCGGUGAACCGAUGACUCCUUGGUAUUGCGGAUAUCAAACCGCAACGCCGCCGCCUAACUACACGACAACUGGCGCAACGACUAGUUACUACACCGAGGCCCCCUAAGUACUACACCACUAAAAUACUGAAGUGUUAUACCAAGACUUUCGCUGGCGAAGUAUUUUACCCGUUGCCCCGAAGUAUUGCUCUGCCCCGAGUUACUACACCAGCAAGGCACCGACGUAUGCUGACCCGUACCACUACACCGAGGCUCCCAAGUGCUACUCUGUUCCCAGUUAAUCAACCGAGGCUCCGGCUUAUCACUCCACCAAAACGGUGGAAUACUACACCGAAGUGCCAAAUUACUGCUCUGCCCGAUCCACACAAUCACGACUGAGACUGCCAAGGAUUACGCAGCCCCGACUUACUACACAGAAGUUAACUACGUCGCCGUGCUCUUGGGUGAUGGAUCGUUGAUGGUUGGGUCUACUACGGGUGUACCGAUGUCUCCUGGAUAUGGUUGAUACCGAAACUCAGCAGCGAAAGAAUACUACACCACGCUGCCGACUUACUGAACAGACACGUCAACGCCUACUUGCUAUACCGAAGACCCCAAGUACUACACCACCAAGGCUCCUGACUACUACACCCAGGAUCUAACUUGUCACACCACAGAGGCGUCCAAGUACUGCACUACAACCUACGUUACACCGGAGUACUACACCACGAAGGCACUGGAAUAUUACGUUGAACUGUAAUACUAAACCGAGGCUCCAGUUCACUACACUACUACCUGCGCUGCUCCCAAGUACUACACCACCAAGGCGUCCGAGUAUUACACCACUACUUAGGCAACCACGACCUACUACACCGAAGCUCCGAAAGCAGUACUCUGCCCCGAGUUGCUACACCACUAACGCAACCGAAUAUUACACCUCAAACUAAGCUUCCGAAUUUCGCAAACAUGGUAAACUAUGGCGUCAUGCUGCUGUUGGGUGUUGUAUUGUUGAUUGCUGGGUCGUCCACUGGUGUACCGACGUCUCCUGGGAAUGUCGGAUAUCUAAGCAAAACGCCGCCGUCUUACUACACAACAUAAUACGCAACCAUCAGUUACUACACCGAGUCGCCCAACUAGUACACCACCAAAGCUCCAGAGUUGCACCACAACUUAUGCUGCCCCGAGCUACAUCACCAAAGAUCCUGAGUUCUACACCGAACCACCAAGUCACCGGAGUUCUACACGUAUGCAGCCCUAGCGUACUACACCGAGCCGUCCAACUACUACACCACCAAGGCUCCAGAUUAUACGCUAAAACUUAUGCUGCCCCGAGCUACACCAUCAAGGCACCGAAGUACUACACCAUCAAGGCACCGAAGUACUAAACCUCUACGUGUGCUGCGCUAGCUUACUACACCGAUGUUUGCAAGUACGGUUCCAACUUAUUACACCACAAGAACGGCCGAAUACUACACAGAAGCGCCCAAAUACAACUCUGCCAUGAGCUACAUAAUCAAAACUGACGCGGCCAAGUAUUACAUUGCCUCAACUUCCUACACAACCACCGUCUCUUCGUAUAUCGUUGAACCGAAAUUCUUCACUGAAGCUCCAAUUAUCACAGCCUACGCUACACUCAGCUACUACACCGAAGCUGCGAACUCUUACUCCGCCCCGAGUAACUACACUACUGAGGCACCUGAAUAUUACACCAAAACCUACGCUUCUCCAACUUACUACAGGGACGUUCCUAAAUUAGAGUCGAAUUUUCAAUUUUAAUAAUUAUGUUCAGACUUUUCGGUCAUAUCUUAAUAUUUACUAGUCACUGGGAAUUGUUGUUGAUCUUUAAUGAGAAAAUAAAUUUUUCAUACUGGGUAA
Molecule: long non-coding RNA, 2610 nt
Organism: Daphnia pulex (common water flea)
Lineage: Eukaryota; Metazoa; Arthropoda; Branchiopoda; Diplostraca; Daphniidae
Exons: 8
Source: RefSeq, a predicted model, not a curated record